Molecule: long non-coding RNA, 2971 nt
Organism: Oncorhynchus tshawytscha (Chinook salmon)
Lineage: Eukaryota; Metazoa; Chordata; Actinopteri; Salmoniformes; Salmonidae
Source: Ensembl
GUUUUGAUGUCUUCACUAUUAUUUUACAAUGUAGAAAAUAGUUUAAAAAAAUAAAGAAAAACCCUGGAAUGAGUAGGUGUGUCCAAACUUUUGACUGGUACUGUAACUCAUCACAGUUAUGCACAUAGAUAUAUAAAUGAAACGCUCACCAAAGGGCCUACUCACACACUGUCCAUACGCACUGUCUAUAUACACAGACACACAUAGCCAAAUCUAGACUUUAAAUAAUUAAGCCCUAUACUGUAUGUAUAAUUUGCAUCAACAUCCGUUGUAAUGCUAUCAUCAGGACUUCCGUGACAAUUCCAGUCAUGCACACUACACUGUGUGUGUCUUCAAAAGAAACCAAACUGAACCAAAUGGGGAGGGACCUACCUGAAUAUGUCCAAUAGAAACUCUGGUAGCACUUUAUAGCAACUCCACGUAAUAAAGCAUUUGUAAUGGAUUAGUAAAUAGUUUAUUCAUUUUUUUUCUUAAUCAAUUCUCCAUUCAUAAGAUGUUUAAUAUAGGUCAUUGAAGCCAUUUGAAGAAUCAUUAGUUAUGUCGUUUUGCGUGGCCUCAUAUAAAUGGUGUGCAAUUUACACUUUAUAAAUACUUUAUAAAUGUUCUGAGUGACCAGUGUAAUUUCUCACAAAAAGAUGGACAUGCCAUUGGUAGACAGACGGUCCAGCUGUACCUGAUGCUCCUUAAUUAAGGUCUGAAACAUACAGUAUCAAUGGUAAAAGAACAAGUACACAACACAGGAUGUUUAAAGGUCCAAUACAGACGUUUUUAUCUCAAUAUCAAAUCAUUUCUGGGUAACAAUUAAGUACCUCACUGUGAUUGUUUUCAAUUCAAAUGGUCAAAAAGAAACAAAAAGUCGAUUCUUAGCAAACAGCAAUUUCUCAAGCAAGAAUUUUGCUAGUGGUCUGAGUGGGGAGGGGAAAACUUCAAAACUAGCUGAUAUUGGCAGAGAAUUUUGGAAGCUCUUAUACUAAAAGGGCAUUAUCAUAAUUUUCACAAUUUCACUGAAUUAUUCCAAUCUCAUAUUGUGGAAAUAUAUAUAAAACACAGGAAAAUCUAGUGUUUGACUGGAGUGGGCCUUUAAAUUAAGGAAAUAUAUCAAACAUUUUUAUUCACAAAAACUGUUGUAGGAAGAGGUGUAAUGUAGAGGUCUGCACCAGACUGAUUUAUUCAGCCCGCUCCUGCCUGCACCCGCUCUCGCCCACACCAGCAGUUUUUCAUACCGCUGCUGGCUUUCUGUCCGACUCCCACCCGCUACUGCAAGAACUGGUCCCGAACCCGCAAUGUUCUUUUAUGCUUAUGUGGCCCAGCUCACUCCAACCUGUCUCGCACAGGAAUGCAGCCCUCUAUUGUAACGUGAAUGUUUUGCUAAUCUUGUCAACCUCACAAACGCAAACGAGUCAUACAACUGGGAGAUGUAGCCUACACACACCAGCUGGCCAGAUCGGUUGUUCUCUCUUAUUCAUUCAUUACUACUGAUAGGCCUAUGUGAUUGAGGUAGAUAUGUUCCAUGUAUGAUUUGCAGAUAGAAAUGUGACAUGUAGAACUUUUAAAUGCUUCCAGUCUUUUAACCACACACUAUUUUCACACGGCUUUGUUUUUUGGCGACACUUUUACUGGGCCUUUAAAAUGUAGUCACUCUUUAAACAUAAUGGGAUAGUUCAGCUAAAUUAUGAAUUCAGGUAUUUGUUUCCCUACCUCGCAAGCUGUAUAUUGACUGACUGCUCCACGCGUUGGUUUUGGUAGAAAUGUCACUGCCAAGAAACGCUAAUGAUAGCAUUUUCAGACGAAAAAACGUUGUUCUACUCAGCAUAGAAUGUGUCUGAAGUUACACAUCGCACUAUUAUUACAACAUUGGGACUGUUUCGGAAUAAAAUGUUCAAUAUAUUUAAAAAUCCUCUGUAUUGUGUGCUUAUUGUUUAACCAUUGAUAUGUUCUAGGGGCCAUUUUGAGACCUGCAGCAGGUACUGCUAGAAUGUCUACCAAUGAAUGGCAUGUCCAUCUUUUAAUGAGAAAUUACACUGGUCACUCAAAGCGUUUAUAAAGUAUAAAUAGCCCACACUUUAGAUCAUGCCACGCAAAAAUACUUAACUAAUGAUUAGACAAUGGUUUAUACGGACCUAUAUUAAAAUUGUAUGAAUGAGUAAUGACUAAUAAAUGAUGCAUGAGCUAUUUUACUAAUCCAUUAUAAAUGCUCUAUUACAUGGAUUUAUUAAGUAAUACCGACACAUGUUUCCAUUGUGAAACGUUUUGCUACUGUACGGUGUGCACUAAUGAAUACACACUAUAUCUCUAACAAGCCAGGAUUGGGCCAGGAAACCAAUAGCCAGCUCUGGUAUAGAAGGGACUCCAUAACCUAAAUAUAGCAGGAGAAGCACUGUAAUAACCUCUUUAAGGAGAACUCUCUUUCAGGCGAACUAGUUUCUCAAGGUUUCUAUGGGGGGGGGGCUGGACGGCUCUGAAAUAUUUGUAACUGUAACUAUGAACUGCUCUGAAUAUUUGGAUAGAGUUUGAGAGUUUUUUUUUUUGGGGGGGCUGGACGGCUCUGAAAUAUUUGUAACUGUAACUAUGAACUGCUCUGAAUAUUUGGAUAGAGUUUGAGAGUUUUUGGGGAAAAGUAUGCUCUAUGCAGCAGCGCACACAAAGACGAAGGCUAGAUAGACUGCCCACUUACGGUCACAGGGCUGGCAAAUAAAUCUCUGUCUUUACUAUAACCUCAUCCUCUUGAUGAAUUCUGUAAAAAGCCCCCCCCUCCAGUUCUGACACGAGUGUUUCCUGCCCUGUUCGCCAUUCCCUUAAAAAACGUGAAUGCCAGGCUUCCACUGUAAACAAACGGUCGAUACAUGUGUGAUUUUUCUAUUAGGGUUUUAUAGGAAGCUCAUCGGAAUGCUGUAAGAUUUCUAUUAAUAAACACAUAUAAAGAUGUACUUACAUUGAGCUUCCCUUGUAUUCCAUAUUAACUUCUAACUAC